UACGAAGGUGGCAAGCGUUACUCGGAAUUACUAGGCGUAAAGGGCAGGUAGGUGGUUUGGUAAGUCUGUUGUGGAAGCUCCCGGCUUAACUGGGAGAGGUCAACGGAUACUACCAAGCUUGAGUAUAGGAGAGGUUACUGGAAUUCCCGGUGUAGCGGUGAAAUGCGCAGAUAUCGGGAGGAACACCAAUGGCGAAAGCAGGUAACUGGACUAUUACUGACACUAAGCUGCGAAAGCUAGGGGAGCAAACAGG
This 253-nucleotide ribosomal RNA is filed under the name uncultured bacterium. RNAcentral describes it as "partial 16S ribosomal RNA". It matches the Rfam family "Bacterial small subunit ribosomal RNA", at positions 524 to 776 of the family's 1533-position model. The record is from RNAcentral.